GUCGAACGAUGAUGCCCAGCUUGCUGGGUGGAUUAGUGGCGAACGGGUGAGUAACACGUGAGUAACCUGCCCCUGACUCUGGGAUAAGCGUUGGAAACGACGUCUAAUACUGGAUAUGACUACCGGCCGCAUGGUCUGGUGGUGGAAAGAUUUUUUGGUUGGGGAUGGACUCGCGGCCUAUCAGCUUGUUGGUGAGGUAAUGGCUCACCAAGGCGACGACGGGUAGCCGGCCUGAGAGGGUGACCGGCCACACUGGGACUGAGACACGGCCCAGACUCCUACGGGAGGCAGCAGUGGGGAAUAUUGCACAAUGGGCGAAAGCCUGAUGCAGCAACGCCGCGUGAGGGAUGACGGCCUUCGGGUUGUAAACCUCUUUUAGUAGGGAAGAAGCGAAAGUGACGGUACCUGCAGAAAAAGCACCGGCUAACUACGUGCCAGCAGCCGCGGUAAUACGUAGGGUGCAAGCGUUGUCCGGAAUUAUUGGGCGUAAAGAGCUCGUAGGCGGUUUGUCGCGUCUGCUGUGAAAUCCCGAGGCUCAACCUCGGGCUUGCAGUGGGUACGGGCAGACUAGAGUGCGGUAGGGGAGAUUGGAAUUCCUGGUGUAGCGGUGGAAUGCGCAGAUAUCAUGAGGAACACCGAUGGCGAAGGCAGAUCUCUGGGCCGUAACUGACGCUGAGGAGCGAAAGCAUGGGGAGCGAACAGGAUUAGAUACC
RNAcentral lists this ribosomal RNA (713 nucleotides) under Curtobacterium sp. B072F. RNAcentral's name for it is "bacterial SSU rRNA". It matches the Rfam family "Bacterial small subunit ribosomal RNA", at positions 61 to 786 of the family's 1533-position model. Lineage: Bacteria; Bacillati; Actinomycetota; Actinomycetes; Micrococcales; Microbacteriaceae. RNAcentral also lists the same sequence under 2 other names. The record is from RNAcentral.